RNAcentral lists this ribosomal RNA (253 nucleotides) under uncultured bacterium. RNAcentral describes it as "partial 16S ribosomal RNA". It matches the Rfam family "Bacterial small subunit ribosomal RNA", at positions 524 to 776 of the family's 1533-position model. The record is from RNAcentral.
UACAGAGGUCUCAAGCGUUGUUCGGAUUCAUUGGGCGUAAAGGGUGCGUAGGUGGCGCUGUAAGUCGGGUGUGAAAUUUCGGAGCUUAACUCCGAAACUGCAUUCGAUACUGCGGUGCUUGAGGACUGGAGAGGAGACUGGAAUUCAUGGUGUAGCAGUGAAAUGCGUAGAGAUCAUGAGGAAGACCAGUGGCGAAGGCGAAUCUCUGGACAGUUACUGACACUGAGGCACGAAGGCCAGGGGAGCAAACGGG